RNAcentral lists this long non-coding RNA (372 nucleotides) under Triticum aestivum (bread wheat). RNAcentral describes it as "long non-coding RNA (TAES_LNC011763)". Lineage: Eukaryota; Viridiplantae; Streptophyta; Magnoliopsida; Poales; Poaceae. The record is from RNAcentral.
UGGGCAUCCAUACUCUAGCUCUUCUUAAUUUUCAUGCAUGUUUCUUUCCAGACUUGAUCUUACUACUAAAUAGCUCACCUGUUGUUUUCUGUUUUCUUGUUGGCAGAUAUUUUGAGUAAAUUCAAGACGAAAGAUGUUCAAAGAAGCUCCAAGACAUUCUUAUAUAGCAAGUUCUGUAAUAAUAGCUGGGUUAUCUAGGAAUUUAAUGUAUCUUCUCUUUGUUUGUGAAUGAAAUAGUAAUUAUGUAUGUGAUUUAAUGUAUCUUCUCUUUGUUUGUGAAUUUCAUGUAUGUUUCAGAAUUACAAUUUCUGUUUCAUAUGAAAUAGUAAUUAUGUAUGUGAUUUGAAAAUGUGUGCAAUGGAAACAUGACUC